RNAcentral lists this ribosomal RNA (540 nucleotides) under uncultured bacterium. RNAcentral's name for it is "bacterial SSU rRNA". It matches the Rfam family "Bacterial small subunit ribosomal RNA", at positions 973 to 1509 of the family's 1533-position model. The record is from RNAcentral.
CCUUGGCCUUGACAUACUAAGAACUUUUCCAGAGAUGGAUUGGUGCCUUUCGGGAACUUUAGAUACAGGUGCUGCAUGGCUGUCGUCAGCUCGUGUCGUGAGAUGUUGGGUUAAGUCCCGCAACGAGCGCAACCCUUUUCCUUAUUUGCCAGCGGGUCAUGCCGGGAACUUUAAGGAUACUGCCAGUGACAAACUGGAGGAAGGCGGGGACGACGUCAAGUCAUCAUGGCCCUUACGGCCAGGGCUACACACGUGCUACAAUGGUCGGUACAAAGGGUUGCUACCUCGCGAGAGGAUGCUAAUCUCAAAAAGCCGGUCGUAGUCCGGAUCGCAGUCUGCAACUCGACUGCGUGAAGUCGGAAUCGCUAGUAAUCGCGGAUCAGAAUGCCGCGGUGAAUACGUUCCCGGGCCUUGUACACACCGCCCGUCACACCAUGGGAGUUUGUUGCACCAGAAGUAGGUAGUCUAACCGCAAGGAGGACGCUUACCACGGUGUGGCCGAUGACUGGGGUGAAGUCGUAACAAGGUAGGCGUAGAUGA